This 573-nucleotide long non-coding RNA is filed under the name Olea europaea subsp. europaea. Lineage: Eukaryota; Viridiplantae; Streptophyta; Magnoliopsida; Lamiales; Oleaceae. The record is from RNAcentral.
GUUCUAAAAGAAUCUUUCUCAAGAUAAAUUUUCAGUGUUGUGUGUCAAAAUGUUCCAAGUAUUAGAAGUUGCAGCAUCUAAAUGCCAUCCAUACACAUGAAUUGGGGAUGUGAUGGAAUUUUAGCUGGUACUGUAUAUUUGAACCUGUUCUCUUCAAUUAGUCUAAGUUUAUACGACAAGUUCAUAUCUAAAAGAAAUGUCGAUAUAAUCCAAAUUGGGAGGUGUCGCCGUCGGCUCUAUUUCUUUGCUUUUUUUCAUUCGAUUGAUAGGAUUGCAUUCAAUUUCUUCUGUUUCCUAUGAUUACUGGAUGCUUUUGUUUGAACCAACCUUGAUUAACAAUUAAUGUACGAUUAUAUCAUUUUGUAGCAGUGAUUUCUCCUGUUUGGUGGUUCGAGUGCUGUGAAGAUAUAAACUCAAGGCAAUUUUAUGAGUAGCUAGCUUUAAAUUUGCUAUGCUUUCUAGUGAUAGGAUUCUCUGUCUGUAAUUAUGCUUCCUUUUUGAUGUUGUCUUUGUACGGUUUUACCAUCGAUUUAUCAGAGAUUUUGCAUAGUGCACCUAUUAAUAAUAACAAUG